RNAcentral lists this microRNA precursor (215 nucleotides) under Pediculus humanus corporis (human body louse). Its description in RNAcentral is "microRNA mir-598". Lineage: Eukaryota; Metazoa; Arthropoda; Insecta; Psocodea; Pediculidae. The record is from RNAcentral.
UAAUGAUGAAAAUAAUGAUGUUGAUGAUGAUAAUGAUGAUGACUGAAUGGUGACAAGGAGAAGAAAUGAUUAAAAUUACUUAGGAAGUUGUAAGUAAGUCAAGAUGAGAACAACGCGUGCAAAUACAAAGUUUCUGUAUCCCUUGUAAUCCCUUCCCCUCGUCCUUCUUCCCCUCCUCUUCGUCGUCAUUGUCAUCAUCAUCAUCAUUAUUAUUG